CGUGAAACCAAUUCACCAUCAGUGAACCAAUUCACCAUCUGCACAAUGUAGUUACCAAAUCCACGAUCCGUGUCGUAUCGUGGUAUUGGACCAUACUCCGGAUUUGAACCACCGACCUCUUUAUACUCUUUAUUUAUUCCUUUCCCUAACGUAAUGUCAUAAUAUUUUGACCAAACCUUAUAUAUUCGGAGAUUGCGUAGUCGGCAGGAUUUGAACCUGCGCGGGAAUAUCCCAACAGAUUUCGAGUCUGUCGCCUUAACCACUCGGCCACGACUACAAACUGUCAACUGCCAUUGAUCUGGACGUUUUGGAAAAAAGAACUAUUUUUAUUCAUCAUUCAGACCUGGGUGGAAAAAUAUGAACAGAUUUCCUCUGUCGCACUAAACUCUACGCAGGACUACCAAGUGAUUAUAUCUUUUAUCAUAUUUGGGAAUCAAAAGGAAUCGGCGGACUUGAUCGGUCCACCUCUCGAUCUGCAGUCGAAUGCUCUUCCA
This is a non-coding RNA of Paramuricea clavata, 494 nucleotides long. NCBI's taxonomy places the organism in Eukaryota, Metazoa, Cnidaria, Anthozoa, Malacalcyonacea, Plexauridae. The record is from the annotation of a GenBank genome assembly.